AGUUAAUGAACUUGAAUAAGUAUAUAUUUUGAAAAUAUAAAAAAGAGCCAUAAUCUCUAUUAACUU
This 66-nucleotide transfer RNA is filed under the name Apogonia cf. basalis. Its description in RNAcentral is "tRNA-Ser". The record is from RNAcentral. Lineage: Eukaryota; Metazoa; Arthropoda; Insecta; Coleoptera; Scarabaeidae.